UGGGCAACAAGCGGUAAGGGCUGGCUUUGCAGUGGUGGAGGGCCUGCAGAUCCGCUCUGGACUACACCAAAGGAAGUCUGGGGAUUUUCAUUGACCUUCAGAAGAAAGAGAAGGAGGCGCAUGCCUGGCUGCAAGCAGGGAAGAUCUAUUACAUCCUGCGGCAGAGCGAGCUGGUGGACCUGUACAUCCAGGUGGCAUAGAAUGUGGUCCUGUACACAGGCGACCCCAACCUGGGGCUGGAGCUGGAGCUGUUUGAGGCAGCUGGAGACAUCUUCUUCAAUGGGGCCUGGGAGCGGGAGAAAGCCGUGUCCUUCUACAGGGGGACCGGCUGAACGAACGCGUGGACUACCACCGGCUGGCAGCCCUGCACCACCGGCUGGGCCAUGGCAAGCUGGCGGAGCACUUCUACCUCAAGGCCCUGUAGCUCUGCAACUUGCCCCUGGAGUUUGAUGAGGCGACCCUCUACUACGUGAAGGUGUACCUGGUGCUCGGUGACAUCAUCUUCUACGACCUGAAGGACCCGUUUGAUGCAGCCGGGUACUACCAGCUGGCACUGGCAGCCGCCGUGGACCUGGGCAACAAGAAGGCAUGGCUGAAGAUCUACACGCGGCCGGCCACCGUCUCCCACAACUUCCUCCUGGACCGCAAGAAGUCGCUCCUCUUCUACCAGAAGACCAGGACCUUCGCCCCAGAACUCAACGUCCACAGGGUCAACCUACCUCCUCUGCCACUCUGCGGGUGGGCCCUAUGGUUGACCCCAGCCACCCUCGCUGAGGACAGCAUCCGAGGGAGCGGGUUUUGUGCAAGGAGGAUGGUCUCCUGCCUCUCCUGGUGUCU
This is a long non-coding RNA of Cercocebus atys (sooty mangabey), 837 nucleotides long. RefSeq lists it as uncharacterized. The record is from RefSeq and is a predicted model, not a curated record. The transcript has 5 exons. NCBI's taxonomy places the organism in Eukaryota, Metazoa, Chordata, Mammalia, Primates, Cercopithecidae.